CAUCAUCAUUAUUCUGAUUCUCACCAAAGGAAUUUAACAAAUCACCGAAAAGUAUAGUCAUUAAAGGCAUACAUAUUCCGUUACCAACAGCACCAAUGGUACCAACAAUCAUCAACACGUAAUCAGUUAAAUCAGCAAAAGCAAACAGCUUAUAAAACGGCACCGUAUCGGUACUCUCCUUCUCCUUUUCCUCCUCCUUCUCCUUCUCUUCAUCUAACCGAGCGUCAUUGGAGGUAGAUGCCUCCGGUUUAUCCUCACCAUUCAUCAUACAAAUACGGUGUCGUUUCACAACACUCUUUGAUAAUGGCGGAUGAACACAGAGAGCAGAGAAGAUGCUCCGUAAAGUGCGGUUGACGAAAAGUGAGGAAUAUGAAUAUUAUAUAUGUGUUUAGAGUUGUAAUUCAGCUGUUGAAAAUAAUGAAUGGGUGGUGGUUG
Molecule: long non-coding RNA, 435 nt
Filed under: Helianthus annuus (common sunflower)
Lineage: Eukaryota; Viridiplantae; Streptophyta; Magnoliopsida; Asterales; Asteraceae
Description: hypothetical non coding rna
Source: RNAcentral